GGCCGGGCACUCUGGAUGGACUGCCGGCGACAAGCCGGAGGAAGGUGGGGAUGACGUCAAGUCAUCAUGGCCCUUAUGUCCAGGGCGACACACGUGCUACAAUGGCCGGCACAGCGGGAAGCGAGGGGCGACCUUGAGCGGAUCCCUCGAAAGCCGGUCCCAGUUCGGAUUGCAGUCUGCAACUCGACUGCAUGAAGUUGGAAUCGCUAGUAAUCGCGGAUCAGCCAAGCCGCGGUGAAUACGUUCCCGGGCCUU
Molecule: ribosomal RNA, 255 nt
Filed under: uncultured Thermovirga sp.
Lineage: Bacteria; Thermotogati; Synergistota; Synergistia; Synergistales; Thermovirgaceae
Description: partial 16S ribosomal RNA
Rfam family: Bacterial small subunit ribosomal RNA
Source: RNAcentral